AUUUGGUGUUAAGGACACUUGAUGCAUAGUUUCUUGAAUCUUUCCCAGUAGUCAUAGAGCAACUCUCCUGGGUGUUGCUUGAAACCGCAUAUCUCCUUUCUCAGACU
Molecule: small nucleolar RNA, 107 nt
Organism: Coffea arabica (coffee)
Lineage: Eukaryota; Viridiplantae; Streptophyta; Magnoliopsida; Gentianales; Rubiaceae
Source: RefSeq, a predicted model, not a curated record